This is a small nucleolar RNA of Gastrolobium bilobum, 81 nucleotides long. RefSeq annotates it as small nucleolar RNA J33. The transcript has a single exon. Lineage: Eukaryota; Viridiplantae; Streptophyta; Magnoliopsida; Fabales; Fabaceae. The record is from RefSeq and is a predicted model, not a curated record.
UAGUUAGGGGAAUAAUGUACUACCGGAGGGCUCUAAAGCUCCAGGCAUUUCUUGAUAUGGCCACUGAAAAAGGUAAGACUG